UACGUAGGUGGCGAGCGUUGUCCGGAUUUAUUGGGUUUAAAGGGUGCGUAGGCGGCCCCAUAAGUCAGUGCUGAAAUAUCCCGGCUUAACCGGGAGGGUGGCAUUGAUACUGCGGGGCUUGAGUAAAGUCGAGGUAGGCGGAAUUGACGGUGUAGCGGUGAAAUGCUUAGAUAUCGUCAAGAACACCGAUAGUGCAGACAGCUUACUAGGCUUUAACUGACGCUGAGGCACGAAAGUGUGGGGAUCAAACAGG
Molecule: ribosomal RNA, 253 nt
Filed under: uncultured bacterium
Lineage: Bacteria
Description: partial 16S ribosomal RNA
Rfam family: Bacterial small subunit ribosomal RNA
Source: RNAcentral